Molecule: long non-coding RNA, 767 nt
Organism: Mus musculus (house mouse)
Lineage: Eukaryota; Metazoa; Chordata; Mammalia; Rodentia; Muridae
Product: predicted gene, 40683
Exons: 4
Source: RefSeq, a predicted model, not a curated record
UCAGUAUGCUUAGGGGACUUGUUUAAGGCCAGACAGCUAAGUAUCACAGCUGGACUAUGAGUGAUGUCUUUGACUUGGAGCAGGAUACAGAUCACAUGGGUCUGGUUUCUUCCUCUCUUUAUGAGGAUGAAAGUAAAGUCUCUUUUGGGUUGAUAUGAGAAUGACAGGAGUUAGCAUAGAUAAGUGAUAACUGAUAUAUAUUGGUUUGAUUUACUGGCUUUCUAACUUUGCAGUUGUGUGUAAAUAAGCAGAGUUUAUAUAGUGGAAGCAGGUAAAAUGUAGAACUUUCUUCAGGCUAGUGAGAAGCAGGCAGAAGACCACAGCAGACUGGGUAGAAAAGCUGCCACAUUUGGUAAGCGAGUUUCCUGCCCUUCACGAAGUGAAUAACUUUGUUCUCCAUACCCUUGCUGCGUGAUGGUCUGCUGAAAUGCACGGGUCUCUAUACACGUGAACCGAACGCUCUGAAGGCCAGAAGCAAAUUAAAGAGUUCCUCUCUUUAAGCCGACUUUCUCAGAGAAGAAAAAGAAGCCAGCCAUGCUUCCGUGUCGCCUGAAACUCUACAGAGAACCUCUCCAUUUGGUGAAGCAGAACGCAGAACCCACGAUUCGCCCUCUGCUGUCCUGGUCCUCGGAUUCUACAGUUAACUGCAAACAGAUGUUUGUGUUCACGUCUUACAUUUUCUUCCCCACACCUCUGUGGUCUGAAUUGAUCAACUGACUUCGUUUUAAAAGCUCUCUCUCUCUCUCUCUCUCUCUCUCUCUCUCUCU